Molecule: ribosomal RNA, 411 nt
Filed under: uncultured bacterium
Lineage: Bacteria
Description: bacterial SSU rRNA
Rfam family: Bacterial small subunit ribosomal RNA
Source: RNAcentral
AAUGGGCGGAAGCCUGACGCAGCAACGCCGCGUGAGUGAAGAAGGCCUUUGGGUUGUAAAGCUCUGUCGACAGGGAAGAAGUUAAUGUAGUUUAAUAGAUUAUGUUAUUGACGGUACCUGAGAAGGAAGCAUCGGCUAACCCCGUGCCAGCAGCCGCGGUAAUACGGGGGAUGCAAGCGUUAUUCGGAAUUAUUGGGCGUAAAGGGCGCGUAGGCGGUUUUAAAAGUCAGAUGUGAAAGCCCGUGGCUCAACCACGGAAGAGCAUUUGAAACUAUGGAACUUGAGUACGGUAGAGGAAAGCGGAAUUCCUGGUGUAGAGGUGAAAUUCGUAGAUAUCAGGAGGAACACCGGUGGCGAAGGCGGCUUUCUGGGCCUGUACUGACGCUGAGGCGCGAAGGCGUGGGUAGCGAA